CCCUUAGAUGUUCUGGGCCGCACGCGCGCUACACUGAUGCAUUCAACGAGCCUAUCCUUGACCGACAGGUCCGGGUAAUCUUUGAAUCUGCAUCGUGACGGGGAUAGAUUAUUGCAAUUAUUAAUCUUCAACGAGGAAUGCCUAGUAGGCGCAAGUCAUCAGCUUGCGUCGAUUACGUCCCUGCCCUUUGUACACACCGCCCGUCGCUCCUACCGAUUGGGUGAGCCGAUGAAACUCUCGGAUGUAGGCUAUUCAUAGCCCGCAGAAGAGAUUUGAAUCGUAGCGCUUAGAGGAAGGAGAAGUCGUAACA
This 310-nucleotide ribosomal RNA is filed under the name uncultured eukaryote. RNAcentral describes it as "partial 18S ribosomal RNA". It matches the Rfam family "Eukaryotic small subunit ribosomal RNA", at positions 1470 to 1796 of the family's 1831-position model. The record is from RNAcentral.